RNAcentral lists this ribosomal RNA (443 nucleotides) under uncultured bacterium. RNAcentral describes it as "partial 16S ribosomal RNA". It matches the Rfam family "Bacterial small subunit ribosomal RNA", at positions 338 to 795 of the family's 1533-position model. The record is from RNAcentral.
CCUACGGGGGGCAGCAGUGGGGAAUAUUGCACAAUGGGGGAAACCCUGAUGCAGCGACGCCGCGUGAGUGAAGAAGUAUUUCGGUACGUAAAGCUCUAUCAGCAGGGAAGAAAGAAAUGACGGCACCUGACUAAGAAGCCCCGGCUAACUACGUGCCAGCAGCCGCGGUAAUACGUAGGGGGCAAGCGUUAUCCGGAUUUACUGGGUGUAAAGGGAGCGUAGACGGCGAUGCAAGUCUGAAGUGAAAGGCGGGGGCCCAACCCCCGGACUGCUUUGGAAACUGUAUGGCUGGAGUGCAGGAGAGGUAAGUGGAAUUCCUAGUGUAGCGGUGAAAUGCGUAGAUAUUAGGAGGAACACCAGUGGCGAAGGCGGCUUACUGGACUGUAACUGACGUUGAGGCUCGAAAGCGUGGGGAGCAAACAGGAUUAGAUACCCGAGUAGUC